Molecule: ribosomal RNA, 338 nt
Filed under: uncultured bacterium
Lineage: Bacteria
Description: partial 16S ribosomal RNA
Rfam family: Bacterial small subunit ribosomal RNA
Source: RNAcentral
CCUACGGGAGGCAGCAGUAGGGAAUCUUCCACAAUGGACGAAAGUCUGAUGGAGCAACGCCGCGUGCGUGAAGAAGGGUUUCUGCUCGUAAAGCUCUGUUGGUAGUGAAGUAAGCUAGAGGUAGUAUCUGGCCUUUACUUGACGGUAUUUCUUUAGACAGUCACGGCUAACUACGUGCCAGCCUCCGCGGUAAUACGUAUGUGGCAAGCGGUUUCCGGAUUUAUUGGGCGUAAAGCGAGUGCAGGCGGUUCACUAAUUCUGAUGUGAAAGGCUUCGGCUCAACCGGAGAAUUGCCGCGGAAACUGUUGAACUUGAGUGCGGAAGAGGAGAGUGGAACU